Molecule: non-coding RNA, 1014 nt
Organism: Nylanderia fulva
Lineage: Eukaryota; Metazoa; Arthropoda; Insecta; Hymenoptera; Formicidae
Source: RefSeq, a predicted model, not a curated record
GCAGGGAAAAAGUUAUCCAAAUCCUAUCACUGUCCAGAGAAAUUAUACGAUUUGAUGCUAAAUUGCUGGAAUGCGGCAAAUGAUAGACCAAAAUUCAUGAGUUGUCUCGAAACUAUUGUAACCUUAAGAAACGAAAUAGAAGACACAAUCCUGCACUCAUCUCCGCCUUCUGAAUAUCGUCCGACAGCGGAUUUUCUCUGAAGCACAGCCAAUCGUAUUUGUAUUUUGAACUUUUAACUGCGAAUCAUGCUUCAAACAAUAUCAUAUAGACAUAAUUAGUUUUUUGUAUGAACAAUUUUUGAGAUCUUUGAUCGUCAUUAAUAACACUGUUCAGGAAAAAAAACACCGGUACGAGACUAGAUGUUUCUUAUAGUAUUUUUGAUGCUCAACACGAAUCUGUCUGAAAAAUUGCUCCAUCACGGCACAAUUUAAAAAAAAUUGCAAUUGUAAGAAAGUGCUAUUUUUUCGAAUUUUGUCAUAUUAUAACUACAAUAUAUGUGACGUACUAAAGAAGUUUUCUUGCCAUUAUACAAAGUAUGUUGACAAUUGAUUUUGUAUUCAUUGUUAGUGACCUAAAAGACCUUUAAGAAUAAAUAAACAUAUUUUAAAACUGUCUGUAGUUUGCGUCAACCUAAGAAACCGCUAACUUCUGCAAUACCUUAUAUUCAACUGUGGAUAUCAUAACCGACACCGAAAAUUCUUACUGAGAGUUGAAAGUCCUAAUUUACUUUAUUUUUUUCGUUCCAGUGUUCAAAAACCGUAUUUCUUUGUUGAACAGUGUUAUUAAAAAUCAAUUUAAUUUGACGUUGGGUAUACAUAAUUAAAGGAAAUAUAUUAAUUUUUCAAUAUCAACAAAUUUAUAAAUUGAUGGUAAAAAAUCAUUAUAAUCGAUUUAUGCGAAAAAAUUGAAAAAAUCACAUUCAAAAAUAAAAUCUCGUAAAUUACACGCGCACGCACAUGUACAUACAUACUUGACUUAUUACAAUAAAUCUAUUGGAGGACAUAAAGACAUUA